Long non-coding RNA from Tyto alba (common barn owl), 804 nucleotides. RefSeq lists it as uncharacterized. Lineage: Eukaryota; Metazoa; Chordata; Aves; Strigiformes; Tytonidae. The transcript is spliced from 6 exons. The record is from RefSeq and is a predicted model, not a curated record.
AUUCCUUCAACACAGGAUCUACACACCUGAAAACCAUAAGGAAGCUGAAGCUGUAAGGAGGGUGAAUAAAAGGUAGUGGUCAGGGGCUGAGGAGAGCUUUUUUCCACCAUAUCUCUUGCUUCUGUGUCCUGGCAGUAAGGAGGUUUCCUGAGGGGCUGCGGUGCUGCCUGAGAAUUUGGCCUAGAUUUCAGCAGAGGAGAUCUCAGGCCAAGACUGCUGGUUCCAGACCUGCCUGCUGUCAGCAGGGUUAUUGGAGGGAGCAGCUUCAGGGUGGUAUGAAAAUGGCAGUGGGAUGAGCCUGGGAUUUCCUCACUACAAGUGGCCAAGCAAGACUACAUCUUUCAAGGGCUCCUAAGGGACCUGGAAAAGAGAAUCAUCGUUUCUUUCCAGUGGAUGCGUAUUCUGGAAGCUUCAGGAAUUCACAGCUGCAAGCCAAAAUUCUUCUGGCUCCUUGUUCAACAAAUAGAGAUGUCUAAUAUCAACCGGCUGACCUAGAUUAUAUCUGAUUCCUUCUCUCAUAUACUUGAAGCAACUGAUUUAAACUACAGAGUCAUUGUCAGCAUACUACAGGACAUCAGCAAAGCAGCCUCUUGGAUUAUGUGAAAAGGCAAGUUACUAGACAAGUCAUUUUGACUGAACCAUUAUUUCUAUGCCUUGAAAAAAAAUGAGGGAAAUUCAGCCAGAGCACAUUAAAACAAAGGCAUCAAGCAGCUCCUACUUUGACAUAACGUGGCAGAUUUUUAGACACAGCCUUGUUCCUUCCUUCAGGCAGGACAAGUACUUUCCCCUUCUCCCUUCCCAAAU